CCCCCCCCCCAUCCUAGCCGAACAGGGAGCUGCGGCGGUUGCUUAGUGGAAACAGACAAGCCAAAUCGGCGCAGAGUGACCUAUUUUGUUGCCGUGUGCCGCUGGGAGUGUGUGUUUUCUCCUAAACUAAUCCCCCCCCCCCCCCCCCCCCUCGGUGGAUGCACGGCCUCCACGCCACACCUACUGAUGUGGUCCGAGCUCUUCCCCUCUCGCUCUCCACCCUCCACCUAAUUAUGAAAUCCCUGACUCAUUUACAUGGCUGUGUUUGAUCUAAAUUACACUCCAAACCACACCAAAUUAGGAUCAUCUGUGAAUGUAAAACACUUUUUUUCCCCUCUCUGCCCCCCCCCCCCGCCCCCCCCCCCCCCAUGUCUGUGUUCCACUAGCGAGCUCUGCAGGGCACAUGUUCACAUGAUGAAGGGGGAAUUUACAGUUUUUUAGCGUUCUCUGGAGACCUGAGCCGCGUCCCACCCCGCCGACUGAGAGCGGCUGGAGUCACCCACAAUUAUACCGGGAUCUGAUCGGCACCCCCACCCAACCCCCACCCAAAUUAGGCUGAGCCUCCUCUGACUGACUGCACACACAGACAGCGCAUUAAUUAGGAUAUGCCAGUGGCUGGGCUAACUGCAGGUGCUUAUUAUGCAUUGAUGUUCUCCUGAUGUACAUCCUUCUGCGCCCCGCUGUUUGUUUUAUUCUAUUAUCAACGCUUUACUCAAAUAUCCAAAGCUGCAACGCGGAUUCUGGCUCUUUAAAGCUGCUCUUUGGUAAAUAUUGUAUCUUCUUUUCUUCUUAAUUAAUCAAAAAGUCAAUACAAGACUGUUUAUGCAUCUUUUUUCAUUCCCAAUCAGUCCGUCGCUGCCAGCAGGUGAGCGGCUGCAGGAGAUUCAAUUGAUGCAUUUUAAUCUGCGCAGUUUCUCAUCAAUGUAACUGUGACUAACAACAGGUUUUAGAAGAAGCUCUAGAGGAAGAACAUUUGUCUCAGAUGAGCGCUCGCGUUAAGGCAGGCGGGGUGCCGGCUGCGCCCGGGCCGCCGGCAGGUAGCCGAGGUGACUGACAGGUGUCCGAGCGCGGCUUGUUAUACCUGCCCGGGGUGAGAGGCCGCACAUGCCGGGGCAGUUGCCUCUCGCUGCCGUUUGGAGACAGCAAAGCGCCGAGUCGCCCGACUAAAACGUCUGAUUAUUGAACCGAGAUCAAACAUUUCCCCACAAAUCUUUGAACCGGCAGCCAAAGUACGGAGAGCACUGCUAUUCUGAGAAAGUUUGUUUUCAUGCCUUCUGUUGUGGUUUGACUGGGCGGGCGAGCCGUGCCUCGUCCCCCCCCCCCCGCCAAAUCUGCGAGGCCUGGAUCCAAUAAGGGCCGGUAUCCGAGCGUGGCGGCGCGGUUGGCAGAAGCAGGGCGCUUCCAUCCACCUAGCGUACCCCCAUCGCUCCUCGGGCCGAGGCCUAAGUGCCUUUCCUCUUUCAACCCGCGUCCUCUCGAGACUUAAUUCACAACAAAUGUUUCAGCCUUUGUUCCUUCCUCUUGAUCCCGGGAAGCAGAAACAUUUCUCGAAAACAGUGAACCCGAGACGCAAAGCCUUCAGGUAAACAGUGGAGCGCGGCGCGUUUGUUGACACAGGUCUUCUCCAUUUCAACCCGCGUUUUCGUUUGUGUAAUUUGCAGACGCGAGCGGCCGAUGAUGAAGCACCAGCGGGUCUCCACGGGUUUGUGGAGGUUGUGAAUUAAUGCGAAGCUGGAUUGGGGCUGAGGCGGGGGUCCGUUUGGGCCGAACCAGAGCCACGUUUUGAUCAAACAAAUCGGUUCUGCUCUUCUGUCUUUUGUCAUCGCUCCUCUUUUUCCACCUCUGAGCUUUCCUGCAGCUCGUAGGUUAUUUGCACACACACACACACACACACACACACACACACCGCUGAAAGAAAAAAGAAAGGGGGGAAAAAGAGGGACACACACACACACACACACACACACACACACACAGAGUGCGGUUGAGGCAACGAAAACCCCGAGGCGUUUAUAAAAACAUCUUACCCCAAAAGAAGAAGAAGAAAACGAGAGGAUUAGAUUGCUGCUGUCAUGGAAAAUGCCUGUAACUGCAGUUCUGCUGUUUUUCUUUUGCGUACCUGAGUUCAAACUUUCCAUGGUCAUUUAGUGAGCUGUAAUACGUGGAGAACUCUGUGACCCCCGGCCAGGUUUCACUCAGCAACGGGGAAUGAAGAGAGACGACUCGCAGCUAUGAAGUGGAAACAAUAUUCUUUGUGAAAAACAACUCGGCCUUCAGAUGUAAUAAAAGAACACGCCCAUGGUUUAUGAGGAAACGAUACGCCGCUAAAGCCAGGCGGGAAAAGCUCUUAUUUUGGCGAGGUGGGGCCCCCCCACUUCAAAAUAUUACACCUCCUGAGUAGCGCUUGACCUCUUUUCCAUCAGACACGCGAGCCAAAUGUCGAAACGCCAAUAUGCUAAUAAUGCUAAUAGCUCCGACGAGACGCAUCUCAAGGCGCCUUUUGAUGUCCCGAGCCGCGUUCCACGGCAGCGUUCGCCGUAGCCAGGGGCGCCGGGGGGGGAACCAGCGAGACGGGGCGCGCCACGAAAACCCGACUGUCAACUUGCCCUCCUCAAUUUAUUAAGCGGCCCUCAGAGCGCCGAGCCGGGAUUUUGACCCUGAUAGCGCCGAGCCUUGGGGGGGAAUGGCACGGAGAGGCAAGCUCUGCGUCCUGUUGUGCCGCUCACAAAAUGAGAUGCUAAUUAAUUACCAUUGGCAUCUUUAGCAGCGCACGUCGGCUCCUAUUUGGUGUAUCAAUCUGUUAUGAGAUCAAACCGAGGCGGGCGAGGCCGCCGCCGCUUCCUGCGGCCGGCUGGAUGCACGAGCUUCACCCCGAGGUCGCCGGGCGAGCGCCGCAUGAGAGCGAGCCGGCCCGCAGCACUUAAUAAGCAUAAUGAAUUUGAUCACAUUAUGGAUCAAUAGCAAUGAGUCAGACAGCUUCCCGAUAGCUCUGCGCUCAGAUGGUCUUUAUUUAUUAACCCUGCAUGGAGGGCGGCUCCCGCAGAGAAAAGCAUUCUGGGUAAAAACCACUGAAUGAAAUGUGCAUGAAACCAGAUCCAGGUUGUCGCCACAAAGCAGAGACAGAUCCAACGUCACGUCUCUGAGGGAAACUGGGACAGAAAGCACUUUAUAAACAAAUUAGGCCGACGCCCCCGAGGACGCGGUCGGCACGCGGAGGCGAGAGGAACCAAAGGAAGGAGGCAGGUUGACCAGGUUCCUGCUCCGCCAGGAGGCCGGCGGCAGCAGUCAUUAGCCGGAGAUAAUAAGCACAAGGUCAGGAGAUUUCUGAAUUAUCUCCCCGUCUCCCCACUGCUCUGUCAGACUCCAUGAAGUUGUGUUCGAGAGCGGGCUCGCCUUAAUCAGCGCUUUAAUUGCCACUUGCCUCCGAGUGUGUGGGGAAUAAGGCCAAUUUCUCAGUCCCUCCUUCAGGAGGAUGCAGACAGGUUCUUGGAAAGGGAGAUGUGGAUUAGUCACUUGCUACCAUUUCAGGAGCCCUGAAGAUCACAAAGGAUCUCAAACCAGUGUGAGCUGUGCUGCAUUCUAUUUAAAUGUCUUCUUCACAUUCAUGGCGUCUCUUGCAAAGACAACAUUAUAUUAGCAGAUUGUCUCGGUAUGCUUUUAUUUUGAAAUAGUAGCCUUGUAAUGUUGCAUUGCGCAGCUUGAUCUAGGUUGCUUUUUGUUCAUAUUUAUAUCUUUAAGUGCACCGUGCUCACACGUUAGGGCUCAGUAGCAGUCGAAUCAUUCUGCUGAUAGGAGCGAGUUGUGUUGGCGUCUCUGGAGAGGAAGCAGCACUUCUGUGUAAACAUGUUGGAAUUCCACAUUCAUCCAAAUUAAACAAUGUUCAGGUCUCUUGUCCGUGUACAACAAUCCAAUUGCGGUGGCGUCCCGUCCUAAUAUUACUGCGUUAUGCGGCGAGUGCACCCCUCUAAUAACUCCAUGUCGGCGUGAUUAAUGGACGUUGCCUAAUAAAUUUCCUGUAAUUAAGUGUCCACCUGCAGCCUGGAAUCCAUUAGCUUUUUGUUGAUGCUGCUUCCUGGCGGCGUUUAGCUGGAGUAAGAUGGGAUCCGCUCAUUCUGACAAUCCCAGCGACGUCAGCGACGCACCUCCACCUUCCUCCACCCGUCUGACAACACACGGACCUCCACUCACCCAAGACGCCGCGGCGCUCCGGAAAUCAGACGACUCAUUAGUGCAACGAGGGCGACCUUUUCAGCGGGGCGGCGACAUGUGAGGAAGGUCACGGCGGUUAAAUGGCACAGUGGCUGUCAGUCACCUCGCUGUCACCGCGCCGCGGCGGAUGAAGGGAAAACGGGGGUUUUAUUUUGAGGGAACGCGGCCGCGUUUGGGGGGGGGGGGGGGGGGGGAGCAUCUCGGAGGCACCUGUGAAGACGAGUGACUCAGAACCGACAACAGCUCCACUUUCUGCCACUUCCUGAGGUAUCCAGGUCUGGCAUUCAUUCAGCGCCGCUUCAGGGCUCAUCACAAGUAAGUGGAGGUGUGAGAUUAGAAAUUGUUUUUCCCCGUGCCCCCCCUCACCCCCCCCGGUGUUUCUCAGCGUUACCGCUUCAUGCCCUGACAAGAAGUGACUGCUGGCACUCGAGCCGAGUCUGGGCGGGAAAUCAGUUAAGGAACGACUGUUGGUGGAGGCGAGGAACAGACGUCAGUGCGCAUUUCAGCGUCCAAUCACUUGAGGGGGGGGGAGGGGGGGGGGCUCUCCUGCAGCACGAGUGACAAGUGGGCAAAUAAUCGCGCUCCACGUGCCCUGUUAAAAUAUGUGCGUCGGUAAAAAGGAGCCGGUAGAAUACGGGAGGUUUGAUGGAGGUUUGAUGGAGGUUAGAUGGAGGUUUGAUGGAGGUUAGAUGGAGGCUCUUCCUGCAUCCGUCCCGCGUGUUUGUGCGACCCAUCGACGUCAGCGGGAUCUGAUCAGAAGAGCAGACGUGCAGAAAUGAGGCGCGGCCACGUGACGGAUGGCCGAGGAAAUCUGUGGCCGUCCGGCUGCAGGAAAAGUCCCAAACUUGCUCUGAGGCGGUUCAGGUCUCAGAAUAUCGUCUGCGUGGAAAUGAGCAGACAAGACACGCGAGAUGCCUCCAAAACUUUAAAAAGAAAAGAACUGUUUUGUUUCUUCUUCAUCAAUGCAAAACUCACUUUCGUCACUUUCUCUCUGCAGCAAGUUCGGUAAUGACGUUUCUCACAAAUCACAGUGAAACGGAGGAAAAGCAGACAACCCUCGAGUAGGCAGCUUUUAAUUGGUUCAACAAAAAGAAACCCGCGUGCAAACGCAGUGGGACAGCGGCGGGCGCUAGGUGAGAGUGAUUCCGUUAGCCGCGGGUCAGCGGGCCUCGUCCCCCCCCCCCCCCCCACAGCGCCACGUUGAAAAGUGGGACAACUCUGGUAAAGGCCGCGUGGAGGAUGCAGAUCAGCAGGCCGCAUCCCGCCUGGAGGUCACGCGCGCUCUGCUGACAGGACUUCCCAAAGCUAAGGGCGAGCGUUUGCCUCUGAAGGGGAUCCGGGUCGGCCGGCAUCGACCCUCCGUGAACUAUACACGCCACUCUGCACGCCCCUGAGUCCCGCGGAUCCACGGCUCGCACCACAUGGAGGAUCUGCUGCGCGUGAGGAACGCGGCCGUCCUCCUCUCUUCUAAUUAGAGAAGGUGAAUCAGCUGCUCGGCGGUGACGUCGCCUUCGGACAGCUCCUGGAGCUGAAUGACGGAAAACAACUGGCGGACGCGGCGACGUUUCCUGAUUCUCAGCUGGAAGCCGCGGCGCUGAAUGAGACUCGCUGGGAUGGAACAUCUCCCCCCCGUCAGUCCGACCUGGAGCUCUGCUCUCCAGUCUGAGGAACCGCUGCCUGUGGAAAAUCACUUUCAGAGGCAAUUUUUCCUUUAAAUUAGAGGGGAGGGCUCACAAUGUUUUCCCAGAUUUCCCCUCACCGCUAAGCGAGCCUUCACAUUAAGUAUUGAACCGUUAAGAGUUUACGGUCACAACCGCAGACGAUUUACCCCCCAAAAAUGGUCCUUCCUCAAACAACGGGCAGCGAACGCGCUACGUGAUGCUACGCAGGAAUUCAGAAAUACUUUUAAUAUUGAUGCAUAAAGGGACUUAACAAAAGCUUGGUGAUGAGCCAUGCUGAGCCGUGAUUGGUCGAUCGUUGUCAGGGGGAGGGUACUAAAGAGAAGAUGAUCUCCUCCUGUACACUAACUAUAUUUAUCUUCCAUUUACCAUCUCAGCCCCGAUCAAAGUCAAAGUCUUCAUGCUGCAGUACUUUUCGUCUUACGCACCAAGCAAACCUCCCGAAAUGAGUCCUAAUCAAGACAAAAGCCCGGAGCUUAGUGCUGCAGGAUGUCUUUGAUUCGGCACACGAGGCACAAAGGUGCCUGCUACCAAACAGACGGGUUCAAUUAAAAGAAAUGACUGUUUAUCAUUUAUUUAUCCAUCAGAAAACAAUUGGACGUUAUGAUUGCAAUUUGCUUGAUUAAUGACUUGAUUAAGGCUGUUAAAUGUUUACAAAUGCGCUCGGCAAAUAUUUUCAGAAAACGGGACGUGGCAUCACAGCCGUGUGUAAACUUCAAUUAAGCACAAAACCAUUCAGACCCCCCCCCCCUGGGAUUCAUUAUUCCCACCUAAAUCUGCAUUUUUAAUGAUUUAAUUUGAGAUAACAAGUUCCACCAGCAAUUAUUUACUUCUUAAAACUGGCAAAGAGCUGCUCUAAAAGAAGGAGGAAAGGUGAGCCCCUGAAUGUCGCAUCAACAAAUGAAGAAGUUUCCAUCCAAACCGGGCGGAGCAACAAAGCGGCGUGCAUCAUCAUAACAAACAAGCUCCCAUCGAAGACGUAAUUAAUGGCAUUGUGUGCAAUAUGUAACAUGCCGGUGCUUUAAUCAGGAUCUCGUAACGUGAUCUUCCUGAGGUGCCGGCGCGCAGCGACGACCAGCGUCUGAAGCAGAGCCCGCCCACCGGCGGAAGCUGAGGAACGGGAGGAGAAGUGAGUGGAGUCGGGGGCCCGGGCCGGCCGCGAGCCGCAGAGGGGACGAGAACAGAGGAUUGUGGGGGAUGCGCGACGACAGCGGCACCGGGGGAGCGGGACCCAGUUCAGGGGCCUUUUUUCCAAGAGUGGUAAUCAGGCGGAGGGGGAUGAAAAAGGCUGAUUUUCAGGGAAUUAGCAUGAUAAGCGAGAACACAAAAUCAAUCCCCGUCCUCAGCCGAGGCCUCCUCUGAUUACUUUGAACUGGCAAAAAAUGGCAGAAUCAAAUCGAAAGUGCUCGAGGUUAGGGGAGUGAUUUGUUCAAGAAGAGAUCGCUAGAGCAAUUGACACAGCUCUUGAGACAAUAAUUGGGUUAUCAAAGAGAAAACAGUUCAAGUACCACGGGGGUGGAAGCCUAUUUGCAUUGGAUUUUCAUACGGAGAGACACACCUCUUCUUUGCAGCCACUGUUUUGUUCCCCCCGCUCUCCACUCGAGGGGCCGGUUGACACGGGGAUUGCAUCAUUAUCAUCCGACGGUUUGUUGCCAUGUGCCCGCCGCGUGAUUAGCAAGUGGUUUGUGUGUACAGAGACACACAGAGUGGCAUUCACUCGUGUGUGUCUGCGUAAAGUGCGCUUCUGUUUGUGCAGGCGGCGAGAGUUUACUCCUCUUCUGCCUCAGAGCAAAAAGAGUUUACUCUUAAAAAAUACUUUUUGGUUCUUUUUCCCGGGCGGAAAGGAGACACACAAAGACGGCGUCUGUUCGACGGAGGGGGAGGAGAGUGACGGGGUGCUGCGUCACGUGACCUGGUCACCCCGCAUGAACCCCAUCGAGAUGCUCGGGAUGAAGGAACAAAAGAAUAUAGAAUAUCAGAGACAUUCUGGUUCGUUCAACUCAUGAAUUGUGUCAGUUUGCAGGUCUUCAAUAUUAAUAAAACAGAGCAAAGCAUUGAAUAACUGGACUGGUCCCGGGUUUGUAUGCGUAUAUAUAUAUUUAUACACACUUGUCGUGGUACCGGACCCAGAGGCGUCCGAUCGGCCCUCCGUCUUAUGUUGAAAUAAGAAGCGCUGCUUCUUCCCCGUGGCUCCGGCCUCUGAAACAACCUGCAGGAAUCCCGGCGGGCGCUUUGAUGUCGGGUCGGGACGCUCGGAUGCCGCUGGCGUGUGUUUGCACAGCUUGGAGCGACUCGGGGAGGGAUCAAGGUGCCGCGUGGACGCGCGGCGCCCGGGUCACAUGUGAGAGGCAAUAAUCCCUGGCGUUUGUUUUGCGCCUCGCGGGGGAAGCAGGUGGGAGGAGCUUAGCAGAUGCACGGAGUCGGCGCCUCCUCGUGAAGCCCGGCGUGUGACUCAGAGAAGUGACGAGCGAGAAAAGGGCACGAGGGGUCAAGAAGGCACGCGGGUAUGAAGAGCGGGAGGCCAACGAGAACGAGGUUGAGAGAGGAAGGAGAGGACGAAAGACAAAGGACGCAGCGUUGAAUCAUCACUCGUCCAACAUCCACGACUUUGCAUCUCUUCUGAGCAGCGACUGAACGAAAGGGAGAAUAAAGCGCUCAAGCAUCUCGUGUCUUAUUUGUAAAGCUCGGCGGUUUCCUCACCACCAAUUUACAGCUUCUCUGCGUGCGGACGGCCGGCCCGCCGCAGCCCGACUUCAGCAGACAGAAGUGCAAACAGCAGAUGAAUUAAAGGUUACCAGGGAAAGAUGACGAGUGUCGGGCCGAUACAAAUUACCGCAGGAAGGAGAGUAAUGAAGUGGAGCCGGGGGCCGGUCAAUAAUUAGAGGUGGCGCGGCCGCUGUCGCCGGCGUUCUGCAGCCUCCGCGCUUUGUCUCCGUUUUAAUUGCCCAGGUUAAGAUGGCCGCCCGCCCCCGUGAAAAAAAAAAAAAAGCGCCAUUCUUAACGGGUUUAAAGACGCCGGAGAUUCGGCAGGACGCGCGUCCACGAGCUUUCAAACUUUCUCCGUCUCGUCCAUUUUGUUUACUCCGAGCGGAGCAUGAGGGAGUUCUGCUUUGAUCCCACCCGAAAAAAAAGAGAGAAGGAAAAUCAGAAAUCAAAAGCAGUCCCAACCGUGCGCGGGGAAGAAGGGGGGAGGAAGGGGGGAGGAAGGGGGGGAAAGUGCCACGAGUGGUUGACAGUUGGUGCAUUGGCUGGGGUUUUUUUGCAAGCAGGGAGACAUAAUCACACAAAUAAGACAUCAAAGAUAGAUUGAGACUUAAAAUAUGCAGAUGGAAAUUAUUCAGAUUGCUUUGGGAUGGCGGGGAGCAAAAUAUUCCCUCAAAGUGUCCGACUGGAUGAGAUCAAAACUCCGGGACGCCAACGAGACGCGAGCGGGAACCAGAGGACGCGUUCGCAGGCGUCCGGGGCUUUUCCUCGGGGGCCCCAGCGGCUCCGCUGGUUCUCCUCGUGGUUCCCCCGUCUGGAGGGGAAUCCUUCUUUUCUCUCACACACACACACACACACACACACACCUGUGCCACGUCGGCGGUCUCCACCUGUAGAACCAGAACCAGCUGGUGGAGACGGGUCGCCGGUGCAUCGCCCGCUAGAAACCUGUGAGGCCUUUUUUAUGUCGUAUUUAAAUCACAAAGCUCAACCGGAACCUCAAAGACGCGCGGUGACCCCUGGUGACCCCUGGUGACCCCGUGUGGUCGGACCACCGGCUCUCUGGACCUCAGCGUCCCGCAGAGGGUUCGGGGGGGACAGGAAGUUUGUCUUUGUCAGAAAAGCUGCAACGUGCCACAGAAAGCGAAGCCCGUCUGUGCUAAUUAACACUUUGAGAGAUAAAAGCCGUUUGUUGAAUCAAUCAGGACGCCGCUUGUUUGUGAAUCCCGGCAGAAAAGGACAUUUGCAUUUUCCCUUUGCAGCUCUAACCCACAUUUGAGGAUCUUCUGAGAUUGUGGCCAGCUUCAAUGUAAAUAUUUUCCCCUCACUGCUACUGUACACGUUUUAAACUUUCAUGGCCCGGAUCCUCUGGUGGAUUUUCAACUCAUUAAAAAAUAAAGAGAUGGAUAAAUAAGCAAACGUAAAACGUAAACAGACAAACAAACGAAUAAACGAACGCGGAUGUUACGGCACUGGAGGAGCUCUGCCAAGACGCGUGGCUAAACAAUCCGGAUUCUAAGUUGCUGGUAGAGAUUUCCAGUUCAACACGGCGCAGCGAACAAACACGGAAGCAACAAACAGGCUUCCAAAGCGCAUCGUGUGCGGCUCAUCUGGAGCCGCCUCAACGUGUCCUGCCAACGUUUGACUUCCAUGUGCAUCAGAUAAUGUUUGGCCUUCGUUGUUAUUGUGUUAGCUGAUUAUUGUAUGACGUCUCGUUCAAUUAAACGUAGUGCUACUAAACAUCUACAUGAUAUCUAUAAAGUAUUUCCCCGUAGAACAAACCGUUUAUUUCCCCCAAUCCAUUUUAAUAUCAGGCCUCGAUGCACGAGGGACUAUUUCUAUAAUUACCAACAGGCUGGUGCAUCUUGCGGGGGGGACGUUCUCCCCGGUCAGGGCCCAACCUCCCUCGUGGGCGGCGGUCACGCACGUCGCGGCCUGAGAGCGGCCGGCGGAGCCUCGUCUCCAGGCGCAGCGCGGGUGAAGCGGUUCUUCGGGGGAGCCGCUUCACCCGUCGUGGAGCCUUUUAAUUGCAGAAGCUUGGAAACCAGCUGAAAAACCCGCUCGCUUCAUGCUUGGGAACACGGAGCGGCCCGGCGCCCGUUUCAUCUGCUCGCAGGUUGAACUCACUUUGCAGGAAAGAGGCCAAUUAGGGCGCGAAGGGAUUAAAAACACAGGGGGGAGAAAGCGUUCACUGUGGGAGGAAAAUAGAGGAGAAGAAGAACGCUCAGCACUUGAUGAUGGUGGAAUUACAGAGGAACCAGGCCACCUGGUUUAAUGUGGGACGUGCACGGCGUUCGGGCCGCGUCACGUGAUGUAAAUUCAGGUUGUCCACGUGGGAUCCGUCGUGGGGGGGGGGGGACGGGGGUCUUGAUGGAGGAGAGCAGGUUUGCUCGCAAGGCAGAGCGGGAAAUCGAUGCGUUGUUGGUUUAUUGGUCUGACCUCUGACCCCCCCCGCUCUUUUCCCUCAUUGCUCCUUCUGACCCGUGUCAAUCCAGCAAGUCGGUUUGAACCAAUAACAUUACAUAGUUAACUCAAACAUCCUACAUGCAUUUAAAUAACAACGAGCCCCCCAAUGAGGACAAAGAGGACCUUCCCACGAUCUAUAAUCCCAGUAAUGCAGCUCAGAAUAUUUCAUCAGACCGUCUCCGCCUGGCUAACAUCCAAACAAAUGCCCCGUUAAAAAGAGGCACCACGACAAUAACAACUAAGGGAACUAUGCAACAAGAGUUGCAAAGAGAAAGAAGAUUGACAGGUGAUGAACAAGGGCCUGGUGGAUUAGCAUAGCUUUUGUUUCAAAAGGAGGUAAAACCCACUUAUGUCAAAAGCAGGAUGUCUGCAUUUGGAGGUCAAACUUGUGAGUGGAAGCAAAGAGAGAAAACCUUCCCUUCACUUCUGCAAACGAGGGAGAGGAGAAAAACUUCCAAGAUCCAGACACCCGGAACGAAAAGGUCACCCGAAUCUCCCGUCUCUCAGUGAUGCUAAUGACGCCUAAUUUGAAAUGGAAUUUUAUUCACAUCUCGAAAGCCAACAAUGAGAUUUCAUUCAGAUAUAGCUUCUUACUUGCUUUAAUGAUAAGUCGGUUGGAGAGCGGGGCGAGGGAGCAAAAGGAGAUCCCCAAGGUGCUUUGACUGUGUUCUUUUAUUAAUGACUCGGCCCUCGUUUGAUGAACCGUUAUCGGGGAGACGAUCGUGGCGACUGAUCGCAUUAAGAGGCCGAUGCAGUUGUUUUGCCUCGUCUCUCGUCCGCUGUGGAUUAUGGUCAUUAGCAUGAAAUGAAUUCCGUCCAUUCACAAGGUGCACCGGCUCCCGUCCGCUUUGAACCCGCCUCGACGUUAGCGGCAUCCACGUUAGCGGCAUCUACGUUAGCGACGUCCACGUUAGCGACCUCAACGUUAGCGGCCUCCACGUUAGCGGCCUCCACGUUAGCGGCGUCCAUGUUAGCGACCUCAAUGUUAGCGGUCUCCACGU
Molecule: long non-coding RNA, 12058 nt
Organism: Gasterosteus aculeatus aculeatus (three-spined stickleback)
Lineage: Eukaryota; Metazoa; Chordata; Actinopteri; Perciformes; Gasterosteidae
Source: Ensembl